GAUGAACGCUGGCGGCGUGCCUAAUACAUGCAAGUCGAGCGAACUGUUGGUAGCUUUCUCCCAUGAGUUAGCGGCGGACGGGUGAGUAACACGUGGGUAACCUGCCUGUAAGACUGGGAUAACUUCUGGAAACCGGGGCUAAUACCGGAUAACAUCUCAGACCACAUGGCCUUCAAUGAAAAGGUGGCGUUGAGCUGCCACUUCUAGCGGGUCCCCCGGCGCAUGGUCUGGUUGGUGAGGUAAAGGCUCACCAAGGCGACGAGGCGUAGCCGACCGGAGAGGGUGAGUAGCCGCACUGGGACUGAGACACGGCCCAGAGUGCUACGGGAGGCGGCAGUAGGGAAUCUUGCGCAAGGGACGAAAGACUGACGGAGCAGCGCCGAGGGCGGGAAGAGGGCCGUCGGGUGGGAAAGCACGGUUGUUAGGGAAGAAAAAGCUUCGUCCGAAUAGGGCGGUAGCUUGACGGUACCUAACCAGAAAGCCACGGCUAACUACGUG
RNAcentral lists this ribosomal RNA (498 nucleotides) under uncultured bacterium. Its description in RNAcentral is "partial 16S ribosomal RNA". It matches the Rfam family "Bacterial small subunit ribosomal RNA", at positions 28 to 507 of the family's 1533-position model. The record is from RNAcentral.